Molecule: non-coding RNA, 87 nt
Organism: Acanthosepion pharaonis
Lineage: Eukaryota; Metazoa; Mollusca; Cephalopoda; Sepiida; Sepiidae
Source: the annotation of a GenBank genome assembly
AAUUCUCAUACGAUCACCAAAGUUAAGCAAUGUUGAGCCUGGUCAGUAUUUAAAUAGGUAACCACUUGGGAAUUCCAGGUGCUGUAA